UUCAAUCUUUUUAAAAAAGGCAAGAGAAAUCAAAUAUACCACAAAUCACGCCAAACGAUCUCAGGUUCCAUAAUUGCACAUGCCUCUCUAUUAGUCCAUACUAACAUAUCUUGAAUUCAAAUUCUCAAAAACAAAACGGUAGAACAGAGCUUAUAUGAUCAUUAUUGAAUUUGAUCGUUCCAAAUCAAUUGAGAAAACUAUUCCAAAUUCGCAGAAAAUCAAUUGCCACUGUGUAUUGAGAUUUCGUAUAGGUAUACAUUAUACUGCACUGAUUCGAGAACUGUCCAAAAAGACAAGAAAAAUCAUUUUCGGGGACGCGGUUCAUUAGUUUCUUUUUAAUUUUAUUCGUAAAAUCGGUCUCUCUCAUUUCUAUCUUCGCAUAAAUGGGUGAAAGGAUGCAACAACCAUAAUUCACAUCAGUAAUCACGUUCAGGUAAUAUACUACCGCUAGCAUAUAGCGUGAUUGAUCCGGAGAAUGAUAACUCCUGGACAUGGUUCUUUGACGAGCGAUUCAAAGAAGCUUAUGGAGUACGGGAGAACAUGUGUGUAGUAUCCGAUAGACAUGAGAGCAUCAUAAAGGCUGUAUCAAGAGAGUAUCCCAUUGUUCCACAUUCUGCGUGCAUAUGAUAUCUAUGAGGUAAAGUAUAUUAGAAAUACAAGAAGAGUCAUGAGGUGUUGAGUUCGGUGUUCUAUACAAUGGCAAAAGCACACACACAUGAUGAUUUUGAUAGGCUAAUGGAGAAGGUUGAGAAGGUCGAUAUUAGGGUGAAAAACUAUUUGGAAUUAGCUGGAAGGAAAAAGUGGCCGGCUAGACUGUAUGCACCCGUUAAUCGGACAAUGACAUCAAACAUUACCUAGUGUAUUAAUUCGAGACUUAUAUCAGCAAGAUAAUUGCCUAUCUAUUUUCUUGAACAUGUUUGGAAGAUGGAAUUACACCAACUGGAAAACGGUCCAUACCCGUCCACCAGUUGGAAAAAUAUUCCAUGAGUUGCUAUCAAUGAACGAACAACUAUGUUCACGUAUGACUGUAUGUUUCAGAUCAAUUGGCUGAACUAAAGUUGAUUGACUAACAUUUAGAUGCAAACUAUAUGUUGUUGUAUAUAUCUGUAUUUCACAACUGCAGUUUAGAUCUGUCUGUCUGUAUUUCAGGACUGACAGAUAUACACUGUAUCUGUCUGUAUUAUAAGCAUUUUUGUAUUUAAUAUAGAG
Lycium barbarum (goji berry) is the source of this 1209-nucleotide long non-coding RNA. RefSeq lists it as uncharacterized. Lineage: Eukaryota; Viridiplantae; Streptophyta; Magnoliopsida; Solanales; Solanaceae. The record is from RefSeq and is a predicted model, not a curated record. The transcript is spliced from 3 exons.